Molecule: long non-coding RNA, 339 nt
Organism: Lytechinus variegatus (green sea urchin)
Lineage: Eukaryota; Metazoa; Echinodermata; Echinoidea; Temnopleuroida; Toxopneustidae
Exons: 3
Source: RefSeq, a predicted model, not a curated record
AUUGAAGGGAGAUGAUUUCGUUUUUGAAUUCGAUCCAUCCAGCACGACCAAGUUUUCAUUUUCUGUUCAUAAAAAUGAAAUAGAAUUCACCCUUAAGAUGAAGGAAGGAGAACGGGUCUUGCAGGGGGGAGUACAGCCUCAGGACACAUCUGAGAUUGGUCCUCUCCGAUCUGUCUGAAGAGGGAACGUCAAGUUUCAUUUCGGAUUACCCGAGGAAUUCUCGCCAUUACAGUUGGGAGGGGGGGGGGUAGAGGUUGAUGGAAAGACAUUCAUUUACUUUACAAAUAGCAUAUAUCCACAAUUUUCUGAAAUAAACUCCUGAAUUAUGUUACUGUAAUC